UGUCGCCCUCGGUGGCCAGGAUUCGCUGCACCGUCUGCAGGACGCUGGUUGCCAUGGUGACAUCUCCGCAGACAUACAUGUGGCCGCGUUCGAGGCACAGCACGCGGUGCACCUCAGACGCCAGCUCGGUCCUCAGGAUGUCCUGCACGUCCCUCCGGCGCCCUGAGAGUCGCGCACCUUGGGGCUGUCGGGUUCCCUGGAGAAGGCGGUGAGGACGCAGCCAAACACUCCGCGCUGCUGGGCGUCCUGCACCUCGUCGCGGUACAGGCGCUGCUGCCAGAACCCCCGGAAAGGGGCGAUGCCGGUGCCGGGGCCCACCAGGAUGCAGGGCAAGCUGGGAUCAGGUGGCAGCCGGAAGGAGGGAGCCCUAGGGAAGAGACGUUCGAUCAGAGCCCCCACCCCCCACUCUCCUCCUUUUUACCAGCCUCAGGCAGGCGGGAUGCAGAGAGGAGAACCCAGUUUCCACCGAGAAGGAAGUCCAUACUUUUGAAGGCCUUAGAACAGGGUCUGGCUGGUGGUAUAAGCAUGGUGUGUUUGUUAAAAGAACUGCCAGCCAGCGGCAACUCCCUGCAUCUUUGGUUUCUGGAGCUUGGGCCAAAGGAAACAGCUCGAUCCGGCUUGGAGAAUACUUGUAUAGCUCAGCUUAGAGAAGUUAGGAAAUAUGGGGGUGAGGGGAAGGGACAGACUUUGGUUUACAAUGGGUUCACUGACGGUGUUGGUUUUAAACAAUGGCCUCAGUAUUGGCAUUUGGCUGGUAUUCAGUUGAUUGGUACGGUUUUAGCCCUCUGGCUGGGUCUGGGUGACCAGGCCUAGCAGGUGCCAUCCUGGGACCUGAGACUUUUGGCUGCCGGGGCAGAGGUAAGACUUCUGGAUGCAACACGAGGGCCGGGUCUCCCAAGUCCACAUCGGUGUGACCAGGAGUGAUCUUUGCUCUGGCUCGUUCUCUCUGGAUUGAGGGGGAAUCAGGGACCACUGUUUCCAGAGGCCAUGCUUUCCACAUUCAGAUGGAGCCCAGGACUUAGAGGGAGACAUGGAAACCACGCUUUCAAGAGCAAGAGGACCUGCUGAUGGGAUCGCAGCUGUCUCCAGGGCUGUGGUUUGAGGACAGGGCCCUGAGUCCCCAUCAGCUCUGAAGCGACCUAGCGACACUCCAUCCUUGCCGUGUCACAGGGGUCCCCCAUGCCUCCAAUAGCACCUCCCUCCCCCCAGAGUUUUCUACUGAGAGGACUGUGGCCUGGAACAUCUUCCGCCUGUGCACGUGGAUCAGACCUGGGGGGGAAGGCGGGGCAGAGGCGACUGGGCCUGAACUGGGGAGAAGGGCCUGGCCCCUCGAUGGGUCAGUUCUGGGGCCCCAGGGACCCCUGAGAACCAGUAGUCCUAGGAUGAGAUCAGAGCCAUACCUGGCAGCAACUGUAGGCCCUCGGUCUGGGUACUCAGCCGGUACCUCUGGCGCUUCCAGCUCCGUUUGGGGCUAAAUAUGUCCCGGGCAGCAGCCUUGGCAUCCUCUCCCACGCAGAAAGUCUCACAGGAGGCCUGGGGGAUUAGAGAGUCAGGGCGGAGGACCUUCUGUCCCUGGGGAGUAGCCCUAAUGAGCCCCCAUGUGUGUGCGGGGGUGACGUGGAGGUAGAGCUGGGCCCGAUGGCUCCCUGGUCACCUCCUUCCGUUCCUGGGUGACUUUCAGGAGCUGGAGAAGCCUGUCUGAGGCUGGCUCCUGUGGGGUGGGCAGCCCUGGCAGCAGCGGGAGGGAAGUUGAGGCUGAGACCAGCACUGACCUUGCCCUCUAGUCCAUUUUCUGGCUUGGUUGCUGGGCCCAGGGGCACUGCCCGCCACUCCUCUGCACACUAUUGAUUUGUCACACCCAAUGGUUCCCUUAUCAAUCCCAUAUCCCAGAGAGCGUGGUGCUUGGCUUCUGGUAGCUCAGUGAAGGCGUCUGUGUCCCUGAAUUCACAUCCCGCCUGCUGAACUUGAAUUUCACAGCCCAACUUUCCCCAUCUUUAUUUCUCGCUGGGUUCUGGUGAGGACUCAGCGAGAGACUUCAGGUGGAGCCUUUAGCACAGUGUGCAUAGCUCGCAAGUGCUCCAAGAGAGGGACACAGGAUUCUGGUGGUGGUGGGUGUCCCAUGGGGCAGGACUCCCAGGAGGCUGCACAUCCUAUCUGUUCUGGUCAGGCACACGUCCAGCAAACAGGCCAGAGCCAGGCGUGCAGCCCAGGGCUCAUCUCUGAUUGGCUGAGCCCCUAUCACCAGCUCCUGUUAAUCUUUCUUUUGUGGUGUGUGCACAGUCUUAUAUCUCUUCCUUCCUCCCAUGGCCCCCUCCCUUCCUUCCUUACGCCACUGCUACCACCCCUGUUGGCUCGUUCUUCCUGCUUCUAGUUUGGUCCUGCUCUGAUUGAUCCUGCACCUCCACUGUAGUGUUCCUGAAACUACGUUGUAGUCUCCCCUCACCCCCAAGCUCCUGGGGGCUCCUUUUGUCCAAAUUCCUCAACUCUUAUCUUCCACCCCCCUUGGACCUUUUGCUCCAGCUUGACUGCCCCCUCCCCAGCAGACCCUGCCCCCUCCACCAGGCAGCCCUCCCCAUCCCCUUGCAUCCUGGGACACCCUCCUCCUCCUCCCCAUUGGUCCUAACCAGCUCUGGGCUCUGGGGGGUGGCACUGUGCCGAAGCAUGACAGGCAGCACUGGCAAGAAUGAGUCUGUUCAACUCCAGCAAAAAUCCCCAGACAGGCAGAGCUGCCUGCUGUGGAAGAGCAGGCUUCGAGAGUCACAGCCCUGGCACCCUCCACCCUCCUCUGGCCUCAGACCACGCCUUCCCGUCCAGGCACUGCCCCGGCUGCUCUGGCUUCAGAUUUUUGGGGUUUCUGUGCUGGCAUCAGCUUCAGUCCUCACUUCCGUCUGACCCUCAAUCCUGCCUGCUCCCUUCAGCUGUGCUGCUGGGGCCAGGCACCUCUGUGGUUCACAGGGCCAAAUUGUCCACUACUUGAGACAACAGGACUGGCUGUGCAGGGACGAAAUGAGGGAGGAGUUUGGAAGGAGCAGCAAGUGACCAGAAACCUGGACAGAGUCAGGGCAGCAGUGAGCAUCUCGGUCCUCAGUAGUGCAGGGGUAGGGAGGGAAGGCACGGGGGGUUAAGCUGCUGCCUGCACUCCGGCAUCCCUUAAGGGCACCAUCAAAGUCCUGGCUGCUUCACUUGCAGUCCAGCUCCCUGCUCAUGCGCCUGGGAAAGCAGCAGAAGACGGCCCAAGUGCCUGGGUCCCUGCACCCACGUGGGAGACCUGGAUGGGGUUCCAGGAGCCUGGCUUCCACCUGGCCCAGCUCUGGUGGUUACAGCCAUUUGGGAAGUGAACUAGCAGUUAGAAAAUCCCUGUUUCUCCCUCUCUCUCUCUCUUUGUAACUCUGCCUUUCAAAUAAAGAAAAUAAAUCUUUAAAAAAAAAAAAAAACUUAAAAAGAAGGGAGUGAACGCACAGAGGGGAUGUGUUGCCUGUGGCAUGAGUCAGAAGGGGGCUGGCAGGCUGGAGGGGCCAGACAUAGGGGACAGGCAAAGGGGCUCACCUGGAAGGCGGCCUGGGCCCAGCCGCGGAAGGCUUCCUCCUGGCCGCAUAGCUCAUCGCCCUGGCCCAGCUGCAGCAGCCGCUCCCCGCCCAGCUCUUCCAGCCGCGUGUCCACCGCACGAGCAAAGGCACAGAAGUGGGGGUAUGCCCGGGAGCCCAGGCCGAACACACAGAACCUGGCGGGCAGGGCAGGGCAUUUGCCACUAGAGACCCCGACCCAGCCCCUGUCUGCCCAGCCAACUUGACCGCCCAGGGUACCCCCCUUGAUCCCCAUGAGAGUGGCCAGACCUGAGGGUGCCCAGAGCCCCCGCACUGUCUGUGUUACUGGACUCCUUCCUCUUCCGCCGCCAAGAAGACACCAGCGGGUCUGAGCAGGAGACGCUGUUGAAGCGGAUUUUGUAACUCCUGUGUAACCUAUAUCCAGAAAAGCACACAUAUUUUCACAAAUCCAACAUCCUCCUUAUGCAAGCAGCAUUCCAUCAGGAAACAUUACUGGGGCUGGCGCUAUGGUGUAGCGGGUUAAAGCCCCAGCCUGCAGCACUGGCAUCCUAUAUGGAUGCUGGUUCAAGACCUGGCUGCUCAACUUCGGAUCCAGCUCUCUGCUAUGGCCUGGGAAAGCAGUGGAAGAUGGCUCAAGUGCUUGGGCCCCUGUACCCACGUGGGAGACCCAGAAGAAGCUCCUGGCUCCUGGCUUCAGAUCAGUUCAGCUCUGGCUGUUCCAGCCAUUUGGGGAGUGAACCAGUGGAUGGAAGACCUCUCUUUCUACCUGUCUCUGUAACUCUGUCUUUCAAAUAAAUAGAAUAAAUCUUAAAAAACAAACAAACAAACAAACAUUACCAGCAUCCCAGCAUUCACCUGUGUGUCCCCUGCAAGUCCCCACAGCCCCUCACCUCAUCUGGGGUGACUAACCAUGCUUCUGCUUUCUGACGUCAGGGAUUAGUUUUGCCUAUUACUAAGCUCUGUAGGAAAGUGAAUCCUGCAGUGUGAGGACACUUCAAAAGGUUGGUGGAAAAUGGAAUUAGUAAAACAUAAUGUGCGUUUCGCUAAGCUCUCUGAAGAGCCCUCAUAUGUCUUCUGUGCUUGGCUUCCUUUACUUCACAUGUGAGGUUCAUCGUAUUGCGUGCGGUUGUAAUUUGUUCACCUUAUUGCUGUAUUGGAAUUUGAGCUUCCACGAUUUACUUAUUAAGUCUAUUGUUGAUAGUCGUUUGAGUUUUUUCCAGUUCAUGGUAUUAUGAGCUAUAAUACCGCUGCGAGUUUUCUUUUAAUCUUUUUUGAAUAUAUCCCAUUUCCCAUGAAAUGUAUUCCUAGAUUUGCUCCAUUUUAAAAAGUUGGGGGUAAACCUAACAGACAUCGAAGUGCACAGAUCUUAACGGGUAC
Oryctolagus cuniculus (rabbit) is the source of this 4922-nucleotide non-coding RNA. The record is from RefSeq and is a predicted model, not a curated record. NCBI's taxonomy places the organism in Eukaryota, Metazoa, Chordata, Mammalia, Lagomorpha, Leporidae.